GUGUUUGCUUUGGCAGCGCAUAUAAUAAAACUGGAAUGAUACAGAGUAGAUUAGCAUGGCUCCUGUGCAAGGAUGACACCCAAAUUCGUGAAGUGUUCCAUAUUUUU
Tursiops truncatus (common bottlenose dolphin) is the source of this 107-nucleotide small nuclear RNA. NCBI's taxonomy places the organism in Eukaryota, Metazoa, Chordata, Mammalia, Artiodactyla, Delphinidae. The record is from Ensembl.